ACUCAGCAGAAAACCACACAGCAGCUUCAGCUGAGCUGUCAAUCAGCAGCAGCAGCCUUAUCUGUCCGCCGCAGGGGCUGAUGGGAGGUCUGAGGACCCGUUAGAAACCACGCGGCCCUCGUCUGAUCUCACAGCUCGUCCUUGUUUGGCCUCAGCUGCAUCAGAGCGCCACUUCUCCCCAGGUUCACCAGAGGAAACACCACUGCACACAAUGCUUUUCCUCCCAGCUGCUGCUCUGUGCUGUCUGUGUUCAGCGCUGGUUGCCAUGGCAGCAGAGCUGAUUCAGGAGGAUUUAACAUUGACCAGGGGAGUCGAUGAAACUGUUUCCUUCAGCUGUCAGAGAACUGACCAGUGUGACACUGAUUAUGUAUUCUGGUACCAGAAGAAAGACACAGACACAUUCAGAGUGAUUCUAGAUAUAACUAAGAGUAAUUGUCGCAUAGAUUCAAGUUACAGCAAUCAUCCUCAGAAAAAUGAUUUCUCUGCUGUGAGAAAUCAGAACGGCUGUGAGUUACAGCUCAAGAACGUUAAACUCUUUCAUUCAGCCACCUACUACUGCGCCUGUUAUAAGAGUGGUACCCACAGUGAGAAAUGAUCCGUGCAGCCUGAACAAAAAGCAGCAGAUGUCAAACAGUGUUUGUGACAGG
Molecule: non-coding RNA, 647 nt
Organism: Micropterus salmoides (largemouth bass)
Lineage: Eukaryota; Metazoa; Chordata; Actinopteri; Centrarchiformes; Centrarchidae
Source: the annotation of a RefSeq genome assembly